CCUACGGGUGGCAGCAGUGGGGAAUAUUGCACAAUGGGCGCAAGCCUGAUGCAGCCAUGCCGCGUGUGUGAAGAAGGCCUUCGGGUUGUAAAGCACUUUCAGCGGGGAGGAAGGCGUUAAGGUUAAUAACCUUGGCGAUUGACGUUACCCGCAGAAGAAGCACCGGCUAACUCCGUGCCAGCAGCCGCGGUAAUACGGGGGGUGCAAGCGUUAAUCGGAAUUACUGGGCGUAAAGCGCACGCAGGCGGUCUGUCAAGUCGGAUGUGAAAUCCCCGGGCUCAACCUGGGAACUGCAUUCGGAACUGGCAGGCUAGAGUCUUGUAGAGGGGGGUAGAAUUCCAGGUGUAGCGGUGAAAUGCGUAGAGAUCUGGAGGAAUACCGGUGGCGAAGGCGGCCCCCUGGACAAAGACUGACGCUCAGGUGCGAAAGCGUGGGGAGCAAACAGGAUUAGAUACCCUGGUAGUC
This 465-nucleotide ribosomal RNA is filed under the name uncultured Klebsiella sp. RNAcentral's name for it is "bacterial SSU rRNA". It matches the Rfam family "Bacterial small subunit ribosomal RNA", at positions 338 to 795 of the family's 1533-position model. Lineage: Bacteria; Pseudomonadati; Pseudomonadota; Gammaproteobacteria; Enterobacterales; Enterobacteriaceae. The record is from RNAcentral.